Molecule: ribosomal RNA, 292 nt
Filed under: uncultured bacterium
Lineage: Bacteria
Description: partial 16S ribosomal RNA
Source: RNAcentral
GGACUACCCGGGUUUCUAAUCCUGUUUGCUCCCCACGCUUUCGCGUCUCAGCGUCAGUAAUCUUCCAGGUGGCCGCCUUCGCCACAGGUGUUCCUCCCGAUAUCUACGAAUUUCACCUCUACACCGGGAAUUCCGCCACCCCCUCCGAUACUCAAGUCUGAUAGUUUUGGAUGCAGUUCCUCGGUUAAGCCGAGGGAUUUCACACCCAACUUAUCAAACCGCCUACACGCGCUUUACGCCCAGUAAUUCCGAACAACGCUUGCACCCUCUGUAUUACCGCGGCUGCUGGCAC